GAAUUUUNCGCNAUGGGCGAAAGCCUGACGGAGCAAUNCCGCCUGAGGGAAGACGGCCUNUGGGUUGUAAACCUNUUUUCUCNGGGAGGAACUCAAUGACGUGUACCUGAGGAAUAAGCAUCGGCUAACUCCGUGCCAGCAGCCGCGGUAAGACGGAGGAUGCAAGUGUUAUCCGGAAUCACUGGGCGUAAAGCGUCUGUAGGUGGUUUAAUAAGUCAACUGUUAAAUCUUGAGGCUCAACUUCAAAAUCGCAGUCGAAACUAUUAGACUAGAGUAUAGUAGGGGUAAAGGGAAUUUCCAGUGGAGCGGUGAAAUGCGUAGAGAUUGGAAAGAACACCGAUGGCGAAGGCACUUUACUGGGCUAUUACUAACACUCAGAGACGAAAGCUAGGGUAGCAAAUGGGAUUAGAUACCCCAGUAGUC
This 423-nucleotide ribosomal RNA is filed under the name uncultured cyanobacterium. Its description in RNAcentral is "bacterial SSU rRNA". It matches the Rfam family "Bacterial small subunit ribosomal RNA", at positions 359 to 795 of the family's 1533-position model. The record is from RNAcentral. Lineage: Bacteria; Bacillati; Cyanobacteriota.